Molecule: ribosomal RNA, 748 nt
Filed under: Amphora sp. ND 51
Lineage: Eukaryota; Bacillariophyta; Bacillariophyceae; Surirellales; Surirellaceae
Description: LSU rRNA
Rfam family: Eukaryotic large subunit ribosomal RNA
Source: RNAcentral
AAGCGACAAUAGCUCACCAUGUGAAUCUGCGUCAAGCCGAAUUGUGGUCUCACUUGCGCUAUUGGGCCGGGCCAAGUCCGUUGGAACACGGCAGCCGAGAGGGUGACACUCCCGUCCGCCCGGCCCUCUGAGCUUGUGUAUUCGAGUCGAGUUGUUUGGGAUUGCAGCUCUAAGCGGGUGGUAAAUUCCAUCGAAAGCUAAAUACUGGUGGGAGACCGAUAGCGUACAAGUACCGUGAGGGAAAGAUGCAAAGAAGCGCGAAAGCGCUGUUAAAGAGUACCUGAACUUGCUGAAACGGAAGCGAAGGAAACCAGUGCCAGCUGCGCCAUACUUCCCCAUCCGCUUGCGGUUGGGGCGCUGUGGCCAGCGUUGUCAUGCUUGGUUGGCGGGUGCGGAAGAGCUCGUGGGGAGUUGACCCUCGUUGCGUGCGCGCCGUCCGACCGAGCCUGACGAAAUGGUUUUCUUUUUCCCGUCUAGAAACACGGACCAAGGAGUCUAACAUAUGUGCGAGUACAGAGGUGGCAAACCUCCGUGCGCAAUGAAAGUGACAGUGGCUGGAAUUUUUGCACAGUCCGCCGGCCUCAAUCCCUCGGGAGAACGGUCUGAGUGUGAGCAUACAUGUUGGGACCCGAAAGAUGGUGAACUAUGCCUGAAUAGGGCGAAGCCAGGGGAAACUCUGGUGGAGGCUCGUAGGGAUUCUGACGUGCAAAUCGAUCUUCAAAUUUGGGUAUAGGGGCGAAAGACUAUC